Molecule: ribosomal RNA, 225 nt
Filed under: uncultured bacterium
Lineage: Bacteria
Description: partial 16S ribosomal RNA
Rfam family: Bacterial small subunit ribosomal RNA
Source: RNAcentral
GACGAACGCUGGCGGCGCGCUUAACACAUGCAAGUCGAACGUGAAACCCGGGCUUGCCCGGGCGGAAAGUGGCGAACGGGUGCGUAACACGUGAGGAACGUGCCCCGAAGACCGGGAGUAACUCGAGGAAACUACGUGCUAAUACCGGAUGUCCUCACCGGAUCGCAUGGUCUGGUGAGGAAAUGGAUUCCGCUUCGGGAUCGCCUCGCGGCCUAUCAGCUUGUU